GACGAGUCUCACGAACGUUAUUCGGAAUUACUGGGCUUAAAGGGUGCGUAGGCGGUGGAGUAAGUCGGGUGUGAAAUACCAUAGCUUAACUAUGGAACUGCACUCGAUACUACUUUGCUAGAGUAAGACAGAGGUGAGUGGAACUGAGGGUGGAGCGGUGAAAUGCGUUGAUAUCCUCAGGAACACCGGUGGCGAAGGCGACUCACUGGGUCUUUACUGACGCUGAUGCACGAAAGCUAGGGUAGCAAAC
This 250-nucleotide ribosomal RNA is filed under the name uncultured bacterium. Its description in RNAcentral is "partial 16S ribosomal RNA". It matches the Rfam family "Bacterial small subunit ribosomal RNA", at positions 524 to 773 of the family's 1533-position model. The record is from RNAcentral.